This 811-nucleotide ribosomal RNA is filed under the name Agaricus xanthodermus var. xanthodermus. Its description in RNAcentral is "LSU rRNA". It matches the Rfam family "Eukaryotic large subunit ribosomal RNA", at positions 55 to 853 of the family's 3401-position model. The record is from RNAcentral. Lineage: Eukaryota; Fungi; Basidiomycota; Agaricomycetes; Agaricales; Agaricaceae.
GGAAAAGAAACUAACAAGGAUUCCCCUAGUAACUGCGAGUGAAGCGGGAAAAGCUCAAAUUUAAAAUCUGGCGGUCUUUGGCCGUCCGAGUUGUAAUCUAGAGAAGUAAUGCCCGUGCUGGACCGUGUAUAAGUCUCCUGGGAUGGGGCGUCAUAGAGGGUGAGAAUCCCGUCUUUGACACGGACUACCAGUGCAUUGUGGUAUGCUCUCAAAGAGUCGAGUUGUUUGGGAAUGCAGCUCAAAAUGGGUGGUAAAUUCCAUCUAAAGCUAAAUAUUGGCGAGAGACCGAUAGCGAACAAGUACCGUGAGGGAAAGAUGAAAAGAACUUUGGAAAGAGAGUUAAACAGUACGUGAAAUUGCUGAAAGGGAAACGCUUGAAGUCAGUCGCGUUGGCCAGGGAUCAGCCUUGCUUUUGCAUGGUGUACUUUCUGGUUGACGGGUCAGCAUCAAUUUUGACCGCUGGAAAAGGGCCUGGGGAAUGUGGCAGCUUCGGCUGUGUUAUAGCCCCUGGUCGCAUACAGUGGUUGGGAUUGAGGAACUCAGCACGCCGCAAGGCCGGGUUUCGACCACGUUCGUGCUUAGGAUGCUGGCAUAAUGGCUUUAAGCGACCCGUCUUGAAACACGGACCAAGGAGUCUAACAUGCCUGCGAGUAUUUGGGUGGAAAACCCGAGUGCGCAAUGAAAGUGAAAGUUGAGAUCCCUGUCGUGGGGAGCAUCGACGCCCGGACCAGAACUUUUGGGACGGAUCCGCGGUGGAGCAUGUAGGUUGGGACCCGAAAGAUGGUGAACNAUGCCUGAAUAGGGUGAAGCC